UGCAACUGACGCUGAAGCUCGAAAGUGCGGGUAUCGAACAGGAUUAGAUACCCUGGUAGUCCGCACGGUAAACGAUGGAUGCCCGCUAUUCGCUCGAAUGAGUGAGUGGCCAAGCGAAAGCAUUAAGCAUCCCACCUGGGGAGUACGCCGGCAACGGUGAAACUCAAAGGAAUUGACGGGGGCCCGCACAAGCGGAGGAACAUGUGGUUUAAUUCGAUGAUACGCGAGGAACCUUACCCGGGCUUGAAUUGCAGGAGAACGAUACAGAGAUGUUGAGGUCCUUCGGGACUCCUGUGAAGGUGCUGCAUGGUUGUCGUCAGCUCGUGCCGUGAGGUGUCGGCUUAAGUGCCAUAACGAGCGCAACCCCUGUUCUUAGUUGCCAUCAGGUAAUGCUGGGCACUCUGGAAUACUGCCACCGUAAGGUGUGAGGAAGGUGGGGAUGACGUCAAAUCAGCACGGCCCUUACGUCCGGGGCUACACACGUGUUACAAUGGCCGGUACAGAGAGUUGGUCGUGCGCAAGUACGGUCUAAUCCAUAAAACCGGUCUCAGUUCGGACUGGGGUCUGCAACCCGACCCCACGAAGCUGGAUUCGCUAGUA
RNAcentral lists this ribosomal RNA (600 nucleotides) under uncultured bacterium. Its description in RNAcentral is "bacterial SSU rRNA". It matches the Rfam family "Bacterial small subunit ribosomal RNA", at positions 735 to 1340 of the family's 1533-position model. The record is from RNAcentral.